Molecule: long non-coding RNA, 9763 nt
Filed under: Solanum tuberosum (potato)
Lineage: Eukaryota; Viridiplantae; Streptophyta; Magnoliopsida; Solanales; Solanaceae
Description: long non-coding RNA (STUB_LNC003318)
Source: RNAcentral
GAGGUUGUUGACCCACUUUACCCUGGUGGUAGCUUUGACCCAUUGGGCCUUGCUGACGACCCAGAGGCUUUUGCUGAGCUCAAGGUUAAGGAAAUCAAGAACGGAAGACUUGCUAUGUUCUCCAUGUUUGGAUUCUUUGUCCAAGCUAUUGUCACCGGAAAGGGUCCAUUGGAGAACCUUGCUGACCACCUUGCCGACCCAGUUAACAACAACGCCUGGGCCUUUGCCACAAACUUCGUUCCCGGAAAAUAAGUGUAACAAAAAUAGAUCUCUAAUCUUCAAGUAGUGUGAGAUGAGUUUUUAGGUCUUGAGUGAUGAAUCUAUAGAAGGGGUCAAAUUUUUAAGCAUUCUGGGUUAUGGGUUCAGUAAAGAGAUUGUAAUGCACUAAAUGUGGUGUAAAUUGGUUUGGAUUAAUGAAAAACAUGUGAAUCUUUUCAUAUUUAUCUUUUUGUAGCACAUAAACUUAAAUUACAAAUUCCAUAUUAUUCUAAAGAAGUUUACUUGUAAAUAUCGUUAGAUGACCUUAUAGUAUAAAUUUUUUGUUUAUAACAACAAUAUAUACAACUUAGUUUCUUAAAAUGAUUUGAUUAUUAAUAAUAUACAAGUGCACUAUAGAAUAGAGGUUUUUAAAAUGCAUAAAAUGAUAAAGUUUCUAACUGUUCAGUGUUGGAUAUUCUAAGCAAUAAAAAUGAAACAAAUAUUAAGAAGUAUGUUUUAAGGAAUGUUACAGUUACCCAACACUUUGGCCAACCAGUUUACAAAAAAAUGUACAAAGUGAAUAGGUGGUUGUUUAUAUUUUAUACUAAAUAUACAUAUAUUACACUUAUAAUGUACAUAUACACUAUUGUUAUAUACAUGGUGUAUAUUUCAUUCAUGUUGGUAAAUUAGCAGAAUGGUACAUAUCCAUAACUUUUCGUACAAUAUUCUUGAUAAAUGAUGUUCAUGACUACUUCUAAUAUGUAAUUUGUUCUUGUACAAACAACAACAUACCCAGUGUAAUCCCACUAUUCUAUCCACUUAAUUAACCUUAGUAUAUGGCUUUAAAGUAUACUAAAGUUUCCUCUUAAUUUAACUCCAUGAAAAAAAAACAAUUACAUGCGUUUAAUUUUCUUAUUAUUCUCCAUUUUUCUAAUUGACUAUUAGAGUAUUGAUCGUCCUAUGAACGACAGACAUGUCAAAACUUUGAAAUAAAUUAUCACAAGUUCUAUGAAUAAACAAAAUAACCUUCAAGGUCAUAACUUUCACAAGCGGGUCAUCACUUUUUUCACAAGAGUUAUGCCCGGCGUAAGAAUGAAAAUUUAAGCUUUCACAAGAUAUGUCAUACUAGUAGUAACUUUAAUACAAAUUAUUGACAAAUUCAUAAGCAAAACUUGUCUUAUCACAAGUUAUGAUGGACACAAGCAUAACUUUAGUAAAAUUGUUCAUAAGUUCUGUCGAAUUAAUGACAAUUUAUACAUAUCGUUUAAUUGUUAAAGAAAUUUAGCAAAAUUUCUUACCAUCUUUGUUUAACUUACCUCUAGUAUCUCACACAAAAAUCAAAGCUUAAUUAGCUGUUGGGACACUUGAACUUGCAUUACCUUAAUUUCAAUUUUUUUUCUUAUUUUGUCUCAUUGUCAAUUUGCCACAUAUAAAAGUGGUCCUAUUUCAUAUGACAGCCAAAUAAAUUUAAGUGUUUGAACAAAGUGGAUAUUUUAUUGCAAUAAUCAACACUCACACGUGGCAACUAUUGAUUGGAUGUAAUAGAGAAAAUCUUCAUUGGGUUAGAUUUUUUAAAUAUGUAAAGUAUCUAAAAAAAUCUAGUCAUGUUUAAUGAACUUUGCCAAAUGGACAAGUAUGCAAAAUGUUACAAAUUGUCACCCACCAAUGAGAGAGAGAUAUAGAUAUUCAAGGAUAAGGGUAUUGGGCCUGUGGAGUCAUUUAUAUACACUUGGUGCAAGGCCCAAGAAACUCAAGCCUCAAAUCAACUCUUCUUUUUGUACAUUCUAAGAGUUUCCAUUCUACUUUUAUAAUGGCUGCUUCUACAAUGGCUCUUUCUUCCUCUACCUUUGCCGGAAAGACGGUGAAACUCUCACCAUCUUCUUCUGAAAUCACCGGAAAUGGGAGAGUCACCAUGAGGAAGAGUGCUGCCAAGGCCAAGCCUGCCUCCUUUGGUAGCCCAUGGUAUGGUCCUGACCGUGUUAAGUACUUGGGCCCAUUUUCUGGGGAAGCCCCAAGCUACUUGACUGGUGAGUUUCCCGGUGACUACGGAUGGGACACUGCUGGACUUUCAGCUGACCCUGAAACAUUCUCUAAGAAUCGUGAAUUGGAGGUGAUCCACUGCAGAUGGGCCAUGCUUGGUGCUCUUGGAUGUGUUUUCCCUGAGCUUUUGGCCCGUAAUGGUGUCAAGUUCGGUGAAGCUGUAUGGUUCAAAGCUGGAUCUCAAAUUUUUAGCGAAGGUGGACUUGACUACUUGGGCAACCCAAGCUUGGUCCAUGCACAAAGCAUCUUGGCUAUCUGGGCUUGCCAAGUUGUGUUGAUGGGAGCCGUUGAGGGUUACCGUAUUGCUGGUGGGCCUCUUGGUGAGGUUGUUGACCCACUUUACCCUGGUGGUAGCUUCGACCCAUUGGGCCUUGCUGAUGACCCAGAGGCUUUUGCUGAGCUCAAGGUAAAGGAAAUCAAGAACGGUAGACUUGCUAUGUUCUCCAUGUUUGGAUUCUUUGUUCAAGCUAUCGUCACUGGAAAGGGUCCAUUGGAGAACCUUGCCGACCACCUUGCUGACCCAGUUAACAACAACGCUUGGGCCUUUGCCACAAACUUUGUUCCCAGAAAGUGAAGUUCUUGAGAGAGAAAAUGUUACUUCUAGUAUCUUAUUGUUUGAUGACCUUUUAAACCUAGCAAUUGUAAAUUACUAGAGAUUAUUUAUGACGUUUUUUGCCAUCAGGCUAAACUACAAAGUUUUAUCUUGUGUCCAUCUUCACUGUUAAAUUAUGUAACAUUGGUUAUAACUAGGCCAUGAUUUAAAAAAUAAAAAAACAGAAGAUUAUCCUAACCAUAUGGUUAAGACCUAGUGUUUGUUGAUUAAAUCUUAAUCGUUAAUAGUAAGAAGUUGAAAAAAUGGAGACAAGAGAAAAUGAAAGAUUAAUUUCUUUAUGUUAUUAAUAAUGACUAAACAGUUCAAUAAUAUAUGCAUUUUUACACAGUGAUAAAUUUCACAAUCAUAUACUGUUAUAGUAAUUUAUUAUUGAAUCUACAUUCCUUGCUUGAACCUUCAAAACCAAACUCAAUUCAAUAAAAUUUCUCCGUCUGUUAGGUGAUAUAUAUAUAUAGUGGAUGAUUUACCUAGUAAUCGGCAUUCUUGAAGCAACUUCUUUAUUCUAUUCAUUAUCGAUUUUGGGUCUUAUUAAUCUAAUAGAAUAGUCGAUAAGCACAUCACUGCCAGCUAUCACCUACACAAUACACACCCAGAGUAGGAACUAAACAAUGAACUAUUCUCUUUGGCUAUAAACAAUCAAAAUCAAAACAAGCAUACAAUGUGAUUUGAACCGGCCACACCCUCACUUCACGUCUUCUAACAAUGAUUAGAAUGACAAUGACUCUAUCUUUCUCUUCUGAUUCCUAUCGAGUUGCCCAGAGGUUCUUGUGUUUUAAGGUAGUUUGAAAUUUAUGUUUGAAUGACUUUAUAUUUAAAUUUUGUGCUUUGUUUUAUUAGGAAUUUGCGAAAAGAAAAAACGUCAUGUCAUGGCUUUCAUAAGUUUACAUAACUUCUUCACAAGUUAUACUUAAUUCACAAGUUCUGCUUGUUCACUAAGUAAUUAUGACAAUCGUUCUAUGUAGCUUUAAUACAAAUUAUUUACGAAUUUUAUCAGAUUGACAAAAACUUGCAUAUGUUAUUCAAUUGUGUACAAAUUUUAUCGAACUGAUAAUAUCUUAUACUAUUUUCAUUCUACCUAUCUUCCGUAACCCUAAAACAAUUUCUAUUUUAUUUCAAAUGUAUAUAAAAAAGUUAUUGUAUAUUGUCUCAUUGUCUAUUUGAAACUCACACAAGUGGUCCUAUUUCUAUUUCAUUUCAAAUAAAAAGAUGUUUGUGAAUAAUGCAUGGCCAUGAGCUACUCUUAUGGUAUGGUCAAGUGGAUAUUAUAUUGCAAUAAUCUAUAAUCACACGUGGCAACCAUGGAUUGGCUGCAUGAGAGGAAAUCAACAAUGAGUUAGAUUUUUUAAACUUAUAAAGUAUCUUUAAAAAAAAUCUAGUACAAAAUUGUCAUUCACCAAUGAAAAAGCAGAUAAUGAUAUUCAAAGAUAAGGAUUUUGGGGCUGUUAGUCAUUUAUAUACACUUGGUGCAAAGCCCAUGAAACUCAAGCCUCAAAUCAACUCUUCUUUUUUGUACAUUCAAGAGUUUUCAUUCUACUUCUAUAAUGGCUACUUCUACAAUGGCUCUUUCUUCCUCUACAUUUGCCGGAAAGGCGGUAAAACUCUCCCCAUCUUCUUCUGAAGUCACUGGAAAUGGGAGAGUCACCAUGAGGAAGAGUGUUGCCAAGGCCAAGCCAGCCUCUUCUGGUAGCCCAUGGUAUGGUCCUGACCGUGUUAAGUACUUGGGCCCAUUCUCUGGAGAAGCCCCAAGCUACCUGAAUUGGAGGUGAUCCACUGUAGAUGGGCCAUGCUUGGUGCUCUCGGAUGUGUCUUCCCUGAACUCUUGGCCCGUAACGGUGUCAAGUUUAGCGAAGCUGUAUGGUUCAAGGCUGGAUCUCAAAUUUUCAGCGAGGGUGGACUUGACUACUUGGGCAACCCAAGCUUGGUCCAUGCACAAAGCAUCUUGGCUAUUUGGGCUUGCCAAGUUGUGUUGAUGGGAGCUGUUGAGGGUUACCGUAUUGCUGGUGGGCCUCUUGGUGAGGUUGUUGACCCACUUUACCCUGGUGGUAGCUUUGACCCAUUGGGCCUUGCUGAUGACCCAGAGGCUUUUGCUGAGCUCAAGGUAAAGGAGAUCAAGAAUGGUAGACUUGCAAUGUUCUCCAUGUUUGGAUUCUUUGUUCAAGCUAUCGUCACUGGAAAGGGUCCAUUGGAGAAUCUUGUCGACCACCUUGCUGACCCAGUUAACAACAACGCUUGGGCUUUUGCCACAAACUUCGUUCCCGGAAAGUGAAGUUCUUCAGAGAAAAUGUUACUUCUAGUAUCUUAUUGUUUGAUGACCUUGUAAACCUAGCAAUUGUAAAUUACUAGAGAUUAUAUAUGAAGCUUUUUGCCAUCAGGCUAACUGCAAGGUUGCAUGUACUUAGAAAGUUUUAUCUUGUCUCCAUCUUCAGUGUUAAAUUAUGUAACAUUGGUUAUAACUAGGCCAUGAUUUAAAAAAUAAAAAAGAGAAGAUUAUCCUAACCAUAUGGUUAAGACCUAAUGUUUGUUGAUUAAAUCUAAGUCAUUAAUAGUAAGAAGUUGAAAAAAUGGAGACAAGAGAAAAUGAAUGUUUAAUUUCUUUAUGUUAUUAAUAAUGACUAAACAGUUAAAUAAUAUAUGCAUUUUUACAUCGUAGUGAUAAAUUUCACAAUCAUAUACUGUUAUAGUAAUUUAUUAUUGAAUCUACAUCCCUUGCUUGAACCUUCUGCACCGAACUCAAUUAAAUAAAAUUUCUCCGUCCGAUAGGUGCUAUAUAUAUAUUGGAUGAUUAGUAAUGGACAUUCUAGAAGCAACUUAUUUAUUCUAUUAGCUAUUGAUUUUGGUUCUUAUUAAUCUAAUAUAAUAAUUGAUAAGAAAAUAACUGCCGCUGUCAGCUACACAGUACACACCCAGAGUAGGACCUAAGCAAUGAACUAUUCUCUUUGGCAAUAAUCAAUCAAAGUCAAAACAAGCAUACAAUGUGAUUUGAACCACACCCUCACUUCACGUCUUCUGACAACAAUUAAGUACGACAAUGACUUUAUCUUUCUUUUCUGAUUCCUAUCGAGUUGCCCAUAGGUUCUUGUGUUUUAAGGUUAUUUGAGAUUUUUGUCAAACGAACAUACAAUGUGUUUUAAGGUAGUUUACAUAACUUCUUCACAAGUUAUGCCGCACAAAAGAAUGAGAAAUUAAUCUUCCACAAGUUAUGCUUGACAUGUCCUAAUUUGGCAUUAAUGAUUAAUUCACAAGUAAUUAUGACGAUCGUACAUAACUUUAAUACAAGUUAUUUACAAGUUCUGUCAAAUUGACAAAACUUGCAUAUGUUAUUCAAUUGUUCACAAAUUUUAUCGAAUUGAUAACAUUUUAUACUAUUUUCAUUCUACCUAUCUUCCGUAAUCCUAAAACAAUUUCUAUUUCAUUUCAAAUGUAUAUAAAAAAGUUAUUGUACAUUGUCUCAUUGUCUAUUUGCAAAUCACACAAGUGGUCCUAUUUCUAUUUCAUUUCAAAUAAACAGAUGUUUUUGAACAAUGCAUGGCCAUGAGCUAUACUCUUAUGGUAUGGUCAAGUGGAUAUUAUAUUGCAAUAAUCUAUAAUCACACGUGGCAACCAUGGAUUGGCUGCAUGAGAGGAAAUCAACAUUGAGUUAGAUUUUUUAAAAUUAUAAAGUAUCUUUAAAAAAAUCUAGUACAAAAUUGUCAUUCACCAAUGAAAAAACAGAUAAUGAUAUUCAAAGAUAAGGAUUUUGGGGCAUGUUGAGUCAUUUAUAUACACUUGGUGCAAAGCCCAUGAAACUCAAGCCUCAAAACAACUUUUCUUUUUGUACAUUCAAGAGUUUUCAUUCUACUUCUAUAAUGGCUACUUCUACAAUGGCUCUUUCUUCCUCUACAUUUGCCGGAAAGGCGGUGAAACUCUCACCAUCUUCUUCUGAAGUCACCGGAAAUGGGAGAGUCACCAUGAGGAAGACCGCUACAAAGGCCAAGCCAGCCUCCUCUGGUAGCCCAUGGUAUGGUCCUGAUCGUGUUAAGUACUUGGGCCCAUUCUCUGGUGAGUCUCCAAGUUACUUGACUGGUGAAUUCCCUGGUGACUAUGGAUGGGAUACUGCUGGACUUUCAGCUGAUCCUGAAACUUUUUCUAAGAACCGUGAGUUGGAGGUGAUUCAUGGUAGAUGGGCCAUGCUCGGAGCUCUUGGUUGUGUCUUCCCCGAGCUCUUGGCUCGUAACGGUGUUAAGUUUGGUGAGGCUGUAUGGUUCAAGGCCGGAUCUCAAAUUUUCAGUGAGGGUGGACUUGACUACUUGGGCAACCCAAGUUUGGUCCAUGCACAAAGCAUCUUGGCCAUUUGGGCUUGCCAAGUUGUGCUAAUGGGAGCCGUUGAAGGUUACCGUAUAGCUGGUGGGCCUCUCGGUGAGGUUGUUGAUCCACUUUACCCUGGUGGUAGCUUCGACCCAUUAGGCCUUGCUGACGACCCAGAAGCUUUUGCUGAGCUCAAGGUAAAGGAAAUUAAGAACGGCAGACUUGCUAUGUUCUCCAUGUUUGGAUUCUUUGUUCAAGCUAUCGUUACCGGAAAGGGUCCAUUGGAGAACCUUGCCGAUCACCUUGCGGACCCAGUAAACAACAACGCUUGGGCCUUUGCCACAAACUUUGUCCCCGGAAAGUGAACUUCUUGAAAUAGUGCCUCUUCUAGUAUUUGUUUGUUUGAUAGGCCAAUGUAGCUACUGUAAAUUAUAGGAGAUUAUAUAUGAAUUUUUAUUUGGUCUCCAAUAAUUAUGUAGUUCUAUAUAUCUUUAUACCUACAAUUCACAAUAGCAGUAUGUAUUUGCAUAUCAUGUGAAAAGUAAAAGUGAAUAGAAAAUUCCUUACUAUAGGACUUUUUAAAUUACAUAAAAUUGGGAAAGUUGGUAAUUACUAGAAAACUAUUCCAUCAAGUUAGAAACUCAAGGUAUAUUAGGAACAAAGAUUUAGAAAGGGAUUAUCAAAAAGUGAAAAAAAGUAAAUUAAAAUGUAUCUGACGUGGCAAAAACCUAUGAUAAAUGUAAAGUAUCUUUCACCAGAUUUCUUUCUACUUAAAAAAAGCAAAUCGAAAUCAACAGACUAUAUAUCACUGAUUUAUCCUUCAUCGUUUUUUGUGAAAUCGACAAAUAGAGUCUGUUUAAGGGAUAAUCGAUCCUGUCCGUCGAUCGGUUUUAAAAGUCCGACAAACAGUGUUGAGUUUUUAGAAAUAUACAUAAAACUGUAGCUACCUGGAAUCGAAUCUAGCUAUAUUUUUUAUCGUUCGAUCACACACGCUCUACAAUGAAAUAUUUUCUUUAUUUUUAUUUAUAUUCUUCAAUUAUAAUUUUACACUUCAACGUCGAUCCUGUUCAACGGUAGAAAAUAUUACAGAACCAUUUGAUGAAAUCUGAAAGAAAAUGGAUAAAUGACCGAUACUACUAUAUGAUUAGUCUUUAGAUAACAAGUAUUGUUCGUAUUCUUAUAAUCGAUUUAAUAAGUAUCUUCUUUUAUGGUUCAUAUUAUGUAAAUAUUUUUCUUGGAAAGAUUGGUAAAUGUAUUUUUCUAAAUUUAAUUUUGUUAUUAUUUUGUUUUCCUAAUUGACAUUCAGAGUAUAAAUUAGUCAUUGAAAUAAUUGCUAGAAAAUAAUUUCAAUUUUUUCAUUUGUCUUAUUAUUAUGAAGAGGUUACACCACUCAUACAAUAUGUGAACUAUUGCAUGGCCAUAAUUUUUUAGAUGUGGAUUUUGCAAGAUUCCACUAUAUAUCACACGUGGUGACUCAGGAUUGGCUGUAAGAGAGAAAAAUCAACAUUUUGUUGGAUUUUUUUGGACAUAAUAAUGUAUCUAAAAAAUAUCUAGUCAUGUUAAACAAAUUGUCAUCCACCAAUGAGGAAAUAGAUAAUGAUAUUUUAGGAUAAGAACUUUAGUUCUUAGAGUCAUUUAAAUAUACUUGUUACAAAUCAAAUAUUCAUUCAGUGUAGUAGCAACAUUCAAGAGUAUUUCAUUUUAUUUCUAUAAUGGCAACUUCUACAAUGGCUCUUUCUUCCUCUUCUUUUGCCGGAAAGGCGGUGAAACUCUCACCAUCUUCUUCUGAAAUCACUGGAAAUGGGAGAGUCACCAUGAGGAAAACCGCUGCCAAGGCCAAGCCAGCCUCCUCUGGUAGCCCAUGGUAUGGUCCUGACCGUGUUAAGUACUUGGGCCCAUUCUCUGGUGAGUCUCCAAGUUACUUGACUGGUGAAUUUCCUGGUGACUAUGGAUGGGAUACUGCUGGACUUUCAGCUGAUCCUGAAACUUUUUCUAAGAACCGUGAGUUGGAGGUGAUUCAUUGCAGAUGGGCCAUGCUUGGAGCUCUUGGUUGUGUUUUCCCUGAGCUCUUAGCUCGUAACGGUGUCAAGUUCGGUGAAGCUGUAUGGUUCAAGGCUGGAUCCCAGAUUUUCAGCGAGGGUGGACUUGACUACUUGGGCAACCCUAGUUUGGUCCAUGCACAAAGCAUCUUGGCAAUUUGGGCUUGCCAAGUUGUGCUAAUGGGAGCCGUUGAAGGUUACCGUAUUGCUGGUGGGCCUCUCGGUGAGGUUGUUGACCCACUUUACCCUGGUGGUAGCUUCGACCCAUUGGGCCUUGCAGAUGACCCAGAGGCUUUUGCUGAGCUCAAGGUAAAGGAAAUCAAGAACGGUAGACUUGCUAUGUUCUCCAUGUUUGGAUUCUUUGUUCAGGCUAUCGUCACAGGAAAGGGUCCAUUGGAGAACCUUGCCGAUCACCUUGCUGACCCCGUUAACAACAAUGCCUGGGCCUUUGCCACAAACUUUGUCCCCGGAAAGUGAACUUCUUGAAAUAGAGCCUCUUCUAGUAUUUGUUUGUUUGAUAGGCCAUUGUAUAGCUAGCUACUGCAAAUUACAGGAGAUUAUAUAUGAAAUUUUUAUUUGGUCUCCAAUA